RNAcentral lists this ribosomal RNA (253 nucleotides) under uncultured bacterium. RNAcentral describes it as "partial 16S ribosomal RNA". It matches the Rfam family "Bacterial small subunit ribosomal RNA", at positions 524 to 776 of the family's 1533-position model. The record is from RNAcentral.
UACGGAGGGUGCAAGCGUUAAUCGGAAUUACUGGGCGUAAAGCGCACGCAGGUGGCUGAGUCAGUCGAUUGUGAAAGCCCUGGGCUUAACCUGGGAAUUGCAGUCGAUACUACUCAGCUAGAGUAUGGGAGAGGGGUGUGGAAUUCCAGGUGUAGCGGUGAAAUGCGUAGAUAUCUGGAGGAACAUCAGUGGCGAAGGCGACACCCUGGACUCAUACUGACACUGAGGUGCGAAAGCGUGGGGAGCAAACAGG